CGCCUUAUGCAUGCAAGUCGAGCGAAGCUUUUCAGUAGUUUACUACAGAAAAUGACUGAGCGGCGAACGGGUGAGUAACGCGUGAGCAAUCUACCUUAGUUACAGGGAUAGCCCGAGGAAACUCGGAUUAAUACCUGAUAUUCUUUAUAUUUCGCAUGAAAUUAAAAGGAAAGGUCAGCCGAACUAAGAUGAGCUCGCGUUCUAUCAGCUAGUUGGUGAGGUAAAAGCUCACCAAGGCUACGACGGAUAGCUGGUCUGAGAGGACGAUCAGCCACACUGGGACUGAGACACGGCCCAGACUCCUACGGGAGGCUGCAGCAGGGAAUAUUGCGCAAUGAGCGAAAGCUUGACGCAGCGACACCGCGUGUGGGAUGACGGAUCUAGGUUUGUUAACCACUUUCAGGAGGGAAGAAAAUGACGGUACCUCCACAAGAAGCCCCGGCCAACUACGUGCCAGCAGCCGCGGUAAUACGUAGGGGGCGAGCGUUGUCCGGAUUUAUUGGGCGUAAAGAGCUCGUAGGCGGUUCAACAAGUCGGUCGUGAAAGUUCAGGGCUCAACCCUGAAAUGUCGAUCGA
Molecule: ribosomal RNA, 576 nt
Filed under: uncultured bacterium
Lineage: Bacteria
Description: bacterial SSU rRNA
Rfam family: Bacterial small subunit ribosomal RNA
Source: RNAcentral